UAUAAACGGCUAUUGUCACAGAUCACUAUAAAUAUGUAGCAAGCGCUAUUGUUGUUAUUAAUUGAUCCACAAAAUAGUUCUUUGGAUAAACCCAAUGCUAUUGAACAGUGAACACACAUUUUUAUCAACAUUCAUAAAAUGGCUAAUGACUGCUAUCUUAUGUCAACUGCCCUAAAGUUCUUAGCUGGGCAAAGUGGAGACAUUUGCAGGUUAUGUUUGGCAUCUACUGCUGGGCAAACCGUGACUAAUAUUGGCGAUAGUUUUUUACUCCAGAGGCCGUACUAUGAGGGCUCAGUUAAUUUCGUUGAAAUGCUCCACGAACUGGGUGUAGGAGCUGAUGAGGCGCUCCCAGAGAACUUCUGUAAUGUCUGCGCUGAUACAGUUGCCAACGCAUAUCUGUUCAAGCGACUCCUUAACUACUCUUCCAGCAAGUGGGCUGAAGUCAUGAGCAGGCUAAGCUCUAGUCUUAACUUGGCUGAAUCAGCCAGGCCAAAUGGGAAAUCUGUUUAUCUUAUCAUAAAUGAAUAUGGUAGUGACAUGUUCACCAGUCGCAAUAGCCCAAAAGUCAAAAAGGAUGUGCUGAUUCAGAUUCGAAAAAGUUAUGCAAAAGCCAAAGAAAAAAAAUCCACGAGUGUGAAGUGUACAGAAUGUUAUAAAAAAUUCAAAUCCAACAGCCUACUUUCAAAACACAAUGUAAAAGUUCACAAUAAAACUGAAAUUUCAUGUCCUUAUUGUUUCAAAAUGUUUGCUACACCUAGUCGGUUGGAAUACCACACAGAAAAGGUUCACUGUCCAAAAAAAAUUCAAUGUCCAAAGUGCAAUGAAAUGUUAAGCACACCCAGAAUGUUGAAAUACCAUGACCGGGCAAAACAUGUGGCAGUUAUAUGUAAACUUUGUGGUGUGCAGGUCCCAUGUAAACAAAAAUUACAAGCUCAUUUAGAGAAACAUAAAGCUAAUAAAUGUCCAAGGUGUGGAAAAACCUUUGCUACUAGUUAUACAUACAAGGCUCAUGUAAAGGCUUGUGGAAAGGAAGGGAAAACACCAAAAUUCUUUUGUGAUAUUUGUGAGAAAGGAUAUGUAAAAAAAGAUGGUUUACGCUCACAUUUAAAGAUCGAUCAUGGAUUUGGCAAAGUACUGAAAUGCAAAGUUUGUAAAAAGAAGUUUAUUAGGGCCAGUAAACUAAAGAAUCAUAUGGUAAAGCAUACGAAAGAAAAGAACUUCUGUUGCGACCAAUGUGGUAGUAAGUUUGUGACACAAGCUGGCUUAGUUUACCACGUCAGACUACAUACAGGUGAAAGGCCAUUUGUCUGUGAAUUGUGCGAUGAAAGGUUUGUUUCUGCUUCUCGUCUGAUGGAACAUAAACACAGAAAACAUUUUGGACCAACCAAGCAGUGUUCAAUAUGUCCCAAGAAAUUUGUGAAAAGUAGUCAGUUGAAAACACAUAUGUAUAGGCAUAGCAACCCACAUAGUAAGCUAUAUUCAGGAGCAGAUAUUCAGCCCGUCUUUGUGGAAACAUGCAAGCUAUAGAAGUGCUAUUUGCUUCUCAAAUGAAUGUGCUUAAUUUCAUGAGUGUACAAGUAGCUAUCGAGUUGUGAGGGGGCCAACAAUACCUCGAAAUGAUUUCUUUAAUGUUACACAUGGCUGUUAAAAUACCAGUUCCUUAUUUUAAUGUGGCUGGGCAUACUACCAAAUGACUAGAUAGAUUGUUCAUGUUCAAUGAUCAGACGGACACACAAACAUUUUAAAUAUAUAUAGAUGUCAUGAAUGCUCUUAUAAAGGAAUCAUGAAUGUU
Molecule: long non-coding RNA, 1792 nt
Organism: Ostrinia nubilalis (European corn borer)
Lineage: Eukaryota; Metazoa; Arthropoda; Insecta; Lepidoptera; Crambidae
Exons: 2
Source: RefSeq, a predicted model, not a curated record